GGGGGUGAACGGUUUCGACGACGGCCGUUCAGCCAGGGGAAGCGGGUCGAGGAUGCGUGGUUAUCUCGAUAACGCUCCACGCAAACCAAUAGGUGCCGAUUCCAAGCGCACCGACUUCGCCCUCGCCGCCUGAGCGAGCCUCGAAGUCCGUCAGUCCCGGAUAGCUCUCGACCGGGGUCCUGGCGUCGCCUAGAGAGCCACUGCCCGUAGCCCUCGUCAUCGGGGUUGCGGGGACAUCUAGAUGACUGGGCCCGUCGGCGCGUUGUCAGCGACAGUGCCGGGGCCGAGCAGAACAGCAGCUGACUGCACCCGGAGAAGCCCUGGCUCCACACCGUCGGACGCGGGUUCGAUUCCCGCCACCUCCACCC
Non-coding RNA from Micrococcales bacterium 73-15, 368 nucleotides. Lineage: Bacteria; Bacillati; Actinomycetota; Actinomycetes; Micrococcales. The record is from Rfam.